RNAcentral lists this ribosomal RNA (449 nucleotides) under uncultured bacterium. Its description in RNAcentral is "bacterial SSU rRNA". It matches the Rfam family "Bacterial small subunit ribosomal RNA", at positions 29 to 507 of the family's 1533-position model. The record is from RNAcentral.
AACGAACGCUGGCGGCAGGCUUAACACAUGCAAGUCGAACGCUCGUAGCAAUACGGGAGUGGCGGACGGGUGAGUAACGCGUGGGAACGUGCCCUGAGGUACGGAAUAACUGCGGGAAACUGCAGCUAAUACCGUAUGAGCCCCGUGAGGGGGAAAGAUUUAUCGCCUUAGGAGCGGCCCGCGUCGGAUUAGCUAGUUGGUGGGGUAACGGCUUACCAAGGCUUCGAUCCGUAGCUGGUCUGAGAGGACGAUCAGCCACACUGGGACUGAGACACGGCCCAGACUCCUACGGGAGGCAGCAGUGGGGAAUAUUGGACAAUGCCCGAAAGGGUGAUCCAGCGACGCCGCGUGGGUGAUGAAGGCCUUCGGGUCGUAAAACCCUGUCAAGUGGGAAGAAUUCGUUUAUACGAAUGACAGUACUACUAAAGGAAGCCCCGGCUAAUUCCGUG